GGGCGCGUGGUCUAACGGUAUGACGCAUCCUUCGCAAGGAUGAGGCUCCGGGUUCGAUUCCCGGCGCGUCCA
This 72-nucleotide transfer RNA is filed under the name Candidatus Woesearchaeota archaeon. RNAcentral describes it as "tRNA-Ala". It matches the Rfam family "tRNA". From Rfam's summary of the family: Transfer RNA (tRNA) molecules are approximately 80 nucleotides in length. Their secondary structure includes four short double-helical elements and three loops (D, anti-codon, and T loops). Lineage: Archaea; Nanobdellati; Candidatus Woesearchaeota. The record is from RNAcentral.